Molecule: non-coding RNA, 1195 nt
Organism: Lolium perenne
Lineage: Eukaryota; Viridiplantae; Streptophyta; Magnoliopsida; Poales; Poaceae
Source: RefSeq, a predicted model, not a curated record
AGUUCUUACCUAUAGACAUGAAACAUUGAAAGUUAAAACUGCAUACGUGUAAGUAAUAUUAAGAGACACUGGAUCUUCUGCGUCAAUACUUUAGGUGUGUAUUAAUGUUGCUUAUUACAGAACAAGGUUAUGUCUUUGUCUUUUUCACUAUUUUUUUGCCCUACAGAAUGCUUGUUAUCGGUUUAUAGUUCAUGGUAGUGUCUAGAGUUAGAACUUAGGAAAUUGACUUCCCUUUUAUCUCUGUAGAUUGUUGGGUGUAAGUUUUCUAUAGGCUAUUCAUGACUUCAGAACCUGCAUCCUUUACUACCCUAACGUCCAAACAGAAUAGGUAGCUGACUUCUUCUUUACUUAUUCAUGAAGCUACUGUAACUAGUGUAGUUGCUAGAUAUUUAAUCUCCGAUUUGCCAUGGGUAUUGAUUAGUUGGUUCGAAAUUAUCAAUUUAAUAAAUAGCUUGCAUUGAAACACUUAUAGAAAAACUAACCUUAUCCCUAUCCUCCAGGUCAGCUCCUGGUCUUUUCAAAUUCUUAUGUCAAGACCCGGGUGAAAAAAGUUAGCUUUGAAACAAUAUCGAUAUUUCGAUACAAGGUAUUAUUAGAGGAAAAAAAUAAUUCUUCAAGCCAUUAUGUUCAGUUUUGGCCUAUUACCUGUGUAGAACCAACUGAUAUUUAGUUGCUGCAAAUGAUUUUUUUGUGUAGUGUAAUAGAAUUUGCUAUAAUAUCUUUCCUGUAAUGAAAUGCUUAUACCUCAAAAUCACUUGAUGUUUGUUGAGUUGGUGCUUCCGAGGACUAGAAGCGCCACAAGCUAAAACAUGAGACCCAAUAAACAGGGUCAUCGAGUACCAACCAGUGCCUGAGCUCACUGGUUUUUACUAUAAAUGUGUAUACUUUCUAUUCUGUAUACAAGAUAUGAUGGUAUUGUGCUAACAUUGGAGGAACAAGCAGCGAAUCGGGAACAAAUGAGGAAAAUUGAGAACCUUUGGUCAGACAAGUAAGAUGGAAGCCAGUUAGAUGAACCCUAUUAGAUGAACCUUGUUGUGUAUUUUAUCUAAUGGUUUCAAACCAUGUUGUUCAUGAUGUGGACAUGAACCCUAUUGGUCAUGUAAGUUAGAUGCCUCGAUUGUGAACCCUUGAAUGUUUCAGAAUGUUGGUUUCAGACCUAGACUGCUUGGAAAUAUUGGUUUUAAACAUUGUUUAA